Molecule: non-coding RNA, 94 nt
Organism: Araneus ventricosus
Lineage: Eukaryota; Metazoa; Arthropoda; Arachnida; Araneae; Araneidae
Source: the annotation of a GenBank genome assembly
GAUGGCCAUACCAUGUUGAAAGCUCCGGUUCUCAUCUGAUCACCGCAGUUAAGCAGCAUGGAAGGUGACCACCUGGGAACACCGCGUGCUGUUG